AGUCACUGACAUUAGAUACCCGCGUAGUCCAGGGUGUAAACGCUGCAGACUUGGUGUUGGAGGCCCUUUGGGGGCAUUCAGUGCCGGAGAGAAGUUGUUAAGUCUGCUACUUGGGAGUACGUCCGCAAGGAUGAAACUUAAAGGAAUUGGCGGGGGAGCACCGCAACGGGAGGAGCGUGCGGUUUAAUUGGAUUCAACACCGUAAAACUCACCAGGGAAGACUGUUACAUGAAGGCCGAGAUGAAGACUCUGCUAGAUUUUCAG
This 264-nucleotide ribosomal RNA is filed under the name uncultured archaeon. RNAcentral describes it as "partial 16S ribosomal RNA". It matches the Rfam family "Archaeal small subunit ribosomal RNA", at positions 716 to 982 of the family's 1478-position model. The record is from RNAcentral.